GACGAACGCUGGCGGCGUGCUUAACACAUGCCAGUCGAACGGAAAGGCCCUGCUUGCAGGGUACUCGAGUGGCGAACGGGUGAGUAACACGUGGGUGAUCUGCCCUGCACUUCGGGAUAAGCCUGGGAAACUGGGUCUAAUACCGGAUAGGAGCCAUUUUUAGUGUGAUGGUUGGAAAGUUUUUUCGGUGUAGGAUGAGCUCGCGGCCUAUCAGCUUGUUGGUGGGGUAAUGGCCUACCAAGGCGGCGACGGGUAGCCGGCCUGAGAGGGUGGACGGCCACAUUGGGACUGAGAUACGGCCCAGACUCCUACGGGAGGCAGCAGUGGGGAAGAUUGCACAAUGGGCGCAAGCCUGAUGCAGCGACGCCGCGUGGGGGAUGACGGCCUUCGGGUUGUAAACUCCUUUCGUUAGGGACGAAGCUUUUUGUGACGGUACCUAGAUAAGAAGCACCGGCUAACUACGUG
Molecule: ribosomal RNA, 465 nt
Filed under: uncultured bacterium
Lineage: Bacteria
Description: partial 16S ribosomal RNA
Rfam family: Bacterial small subunit ribosomal RNA
Source: RNAcentral